Molecule: ribosomal RNA, 497 nt
Filed under: uncultured bacterium
Lineage: Bacteria
Description: partial 16S ribosomal RNA
Rfam family: Bacterial small subunit ribosomal RNA
Source: RNAcentral
GACGAACGCUGGCGGCGUGCCUAAUACAUGCAAGUAGAACGCUGAAGAGAGGAGCUUGCUCUUCUUGGAUGAGUUGCGAACGGGUGAGUAACGCGUAGGUAACCUGCCUUGUAGCGGGGGAUAACUAUUGGAAACGAUAGCUAAUACCGCAUAACAAUAGGUGACACAUGUCAUUUAUUUGAAAGGGGCAAUUGCUCCACUACAAGAUGGACCUGCGUUGUAUUAGCUAGUAGGUGAGGUAACGGCUCACCUAGGCGACGAUACAUAGCCGACCUGAGAGGGUGAUCGGCCACACUGGGACUGAGACCCGGCCCAGACUCCUACGGGAGGCAGCAGUAGGGAAUCUUCGGCAAUGGGGGCAACCCUGACCGAGCAACGCCGCGUGAGUGAAGAAGGUUUUCGGAUCGUAAAGCUCUGUUGUAAGUCAAGAACGAGUGUGAGAGUGGAAAGUUCACACUGUGACGGUAGCUUACCAGAAAGGGACGGCUAACUACGUG